Lagenorhynchus albirostris (white-beaked dolphin) is the source of this 1110-nucleotide RNA transcript. It is a transcript of the gene named calcyphosine, with no coding region annotated. Lineage: Eukaryota; Metazoa; Chordata; Mammalia; Artiodactyla; Delphinidae. The record is from RefSeq and is a predicted model, not a curated record. The transcript is spliced from 4 exons.
GCAGAGCAGGCAGAAGGCAGAAGGCAGGCGGAGCAGCUACCCGGACUCCAGGACAGACGAAGGCCAGGUGAGUGAGCGGGGGCACCCGGCCUGCAGCCUGGUUGCCGAGCGGGAGCCCCUCCAGAUCUCUCUCCCAUCCAGCAGCCCAGGGAGCCCUGACCCAUCAUGGAUGCUGUGGACACCACCAUGGAGAAGCUCCGGGCCCAGUGCCUGUCCCGAGGGGCCUCGGGCAUCCAGGGUCUGGCCAGGUUUUUCCGCCGCAUGGACCGGGACAGGAGCCGGUCCCUGGACGCAGGGGAGCUCCAGCGGGGCCUGGCCGAGCUGGGGCUGGUGCUGGACACAGCCGAGGCGCAGGGCGUGUGCAGGCGCUGGGACCGUGAUGGCAGUGGGACGCUGGACCUGGAGGAGUUCCUGCGGGCACUGCGGCCCCCCAUGUCCCAGGUCCGGGAGGCAGUCAUCACAGCCGCGUUCGCCAAGCUGGACCGCAGCGGGGACGGCGUGGUGACUGUGGAUGACCUCCGGGGGGUGUACAGCGGCCGCGCCCACCCCAGGGUGCGGAGCGGGGAGUGGACGGAGGAGGAGGUGCUCCGCCGCUUCCUGGACAACUUUGACUCCUCCGAGAAGGACGGGCAGGUGGGUGCGCGGAUACCACCCCCUCUGCCCACGCCUGCGGUCCCCCCUGACAGCCCAUCUGCCCCCAGGUCACGCUGGCCGAGUUCCAGGACUACUACAGUGGCGUGAGCGCCUCUGUGGACACGGAUGAGGAGUUUGUGGCCAUGAUGACCAGCGCCUGGCGGCUGUGAGCGGUGCACACCCACUCGGCUGGCACCAUGCAGUGAAGCCAGGCAGCGCCCGGGUGGGGAAGCAAACUGCUCUUCUGUGACGCAAGGCUCUGCACGGAGCGGCCAGUCUUGGAAGGCAGCCGAGCUUGGUCACCUGCCCAGGUGUGGAGUGCGGGGCAAGCCAGGCUGCUGAGGAACCGUUCCUGGCCAGGUUGCCUGGCUUCCUGAGGCCCCUGGGGCAUGCGGGAGGCCAGAGUUUUAGUUAAAAGUUUUAAUGUAGUUCCCAAAUACAUUUCAUAUGACAAUCUUACAUAAAUGUUCCAAAACA